UGGAGCCUGCUUCAGAAUCUGUAUCUCCCUCUCUCUCUUUCCCCUAUCCUGAUCAUGCUCUGUGUCUCCCUCUAAAAAAAAAAACGAAUUAAAAAAAAUUUAAGAUACAGACUGUAUUUUCACCUACCCAAUUAACAUCUCCACCUAAAUGUCUAGCUGGUCAUUCAAACUCACUGCGUCAAAAAACUAAUUUCCUCCAUUUGGCCCACUUCUCAGUCAAAUAUUAUUGAUGAUGAUGAUGAUGAUGAUGAUAAAGACUCCAUGAUGAAGACUCAAAACAGAUAUGCCCUUCCUUCUAGAUCUUCUCUUUAAUUAGCAAUGUUAUCAGCUAUUCAUUUACUAAGUCCCAUAUAUGUCUCUAGUCCAUGACUUCUUCUUUGAUAUUCCUUUAUUAAUGUCCCGUUUUACCUUGUUCCUAGAAUAAAACCUAUUUUUAAGUUUAUUCGUUUUGAGAGAAAGAGAGAGAGAAAGAGAGAGAGAGAGAGUGAGCCAGCAGGGGAGGAGCAGAGAGAGAGAAGGAGAGAGAGAGAAUCCCAAGCAAGCCCUGCAUCAGCAGCAUGGAGUCUAACAUGGGACUUGAACCCAGAAACCAGGAAAUCACGACCUGAGCCAAACUGUCUAACCAAAAGUCGGACACUUAACCAACUGAGCCACCUAGGCAGCCCCUGGAAUAAUAACUUUUAACUGAUACUCACACAACUAUUCUUUUCCUCUCUGUGCAAUUCUCUAGACAACCACCAGUAGAAUAUUAAACGGAAACCUAAUUUUGUCACAUUUUUCUAAAAAUGGUUUACAAUUGUCUUCAGGAUAAAAACCCAAGUUCUGGGCUUAGACUGUGAGGUCUCCAACUAUCUACAGCCAAACUACAUUUAUAAUUUCUAAUCCCAUGCUUUCUCCGGCCAAAGUUACAGACCACAUGUAUAUAGUAAGUAGUAUAGACUACUUAGAAAAAUAGUUUUCUUAUCUGAUCCAGUGUAGGCAUUCAAAAAAUAUUUACUGAUGCAAAAAUACUAAAUUUAGAUAUGUUCUAUAUUUUCUCUAAAGUUCUGAUAGCUAUGGGGCUGUUACUCUCUUCAAGAGGUAACCUGCUACAUGGAGAGCAAUUAACCAAGAGCAUCCAGCUGUAGCACUUUAGGAAACUACAACAGCAUUUGAGAAUUCAGAUCACCAUCUUUGUCGGAAGAUCUCUCUGGACUACUCCUACUCCUUCUACUCCUUACCAUUCACAGCUUCUAGAAAGAAUGCAGUGCUACUUACGUGGAGAAGUUAGACUUCUGAUCUUCAGAACUGUAAGCAAAUACAUUUCUGUCAUUUUAAGUCAUUAACUUUGUGCUAAUUUAUCGCAGUAGCCUUAGGAAACUAACACAAUAUGCAUAGUCACCCUUGCCCAGCAUUACUGUGGGAGUCAUUUUCCUAGGAAUGGUAUAAAUAGUUUGGUGCUACUGUUGUUAUAAUUUUGUGGCUGGUUAAUUAUGGAACUCAUUUGUCAUAGAGUG
Felis catus (domestic cat) is the source of this 1496-nucleotide long non-coding RNA. RefSeq lists it as uncharacterized. NCBI's taxonomy places the organism in Eukaryota, Metazoa, Chordata, Mammalia, Carnivora, Felidae. The record is from RefSeq and is a predicted model, not a curated record. The transcript has 3 exons.